CCUACGGGAGGCAGCAGUGGGGAAUAUUGCACAAUGGGGGAAACCCUGAUGCAGCGACGCCGCGUGAGUGAAGAAGUAUUUCGGUACGUAAAGCUCUAUCAGCAGGGAAGAAAAUGACGGUACCUGACUAAGAAGCCCCGGCUAACUACGUGCCAGCAGCCGCGGUAAUACGUAGGGGGCAAGCGUUAUCCGGAAUUACUGGGUGUAAAGGGAGCGUAGACGGCAGCGCAAGUCUGGAGUGAAAUGCCGGGGCGCAACCCCGGAACUGCUCUGGAAACUGUGAAGCUGGAGUGCAGGAGAGGUAAGCGGAAUUCCUGGUGUAGCGGUGAAAUGCGUAGAUAUCAGGAGGAACACCGGUGGCGAAGGCGGCUUACUGGACUGUAACUGACGUUGAGGCUCGAAAGUGUGGGGAGCAAACAGGAUUAGAUACCCGAGUAGUC
This 440-nucleotide ribosomal RNA is filed under the name uncultured bacterium. RNAcentral's name for it is "partial 16S ribosomal RNA". It matches the Rfam family "Bacterial small subunit ribosomal RNA", at positions 338 to 795 of the family's 1533-position model. The record is from RNAcentral.